This 74-nucleotide transfer RNA is filed under the name Fagopyrum esculentum (common buckwheat). RNAcentral describes it as "tRNA-fMet". It matches the Rfam family "tRNA". From Rfam's summary of the family: Transfer RNA (tRNA) molecules are approximately 80 nucleotides in length. Their secondary structure includes four short double-helical elements and three loops (D, anti-codon, and T loops). Further hydrogen bonds mediate the characteristic L-shaped molecular structure. tRNAs have two regions of fundamental functional importance: the anti-codon, which is responsible for specific mRNA codon recognition, and the 3' end, to which the tRNAs corresponding amino acid is attached (by aminoacyl-tRNA synthetases). tRNAs cope with the degeneracy of the genetic code in two manners: having more than one tRNA (with a specific anti-codon) for a particular amino acid; and 'wobble' base-pairing, i.e. permitting non-standard base-pairing at the 3rd anti-codon position. The record is from RNAcentral. RNAcentral also lists the same sequence under 7 other names. Lineage: Eukaryota; Viridiplantae; Streptophyta; Magnoliopsida; Caryophyllales; Polygonaceae.
AGCGGGGUAGAGGAAUUGGUUGACUCGUUAGGCUCAUGAUCUAAAGAUUGCAGGUUCGAAUCCUGCCCCCGCCU